AAAAUAUAUCACAUUCUCUCAUACCAUGACAUGUGCAAGUCAUAUCCACGGGCAUCUUUUCAGACUUCCAACUUGGAUGGAACAGGAUGGGACUGGGAAUCACCUUGUGGUGCAUAUUAUUCCUCACAUUAGGCAUAUAUUGGUGCCACCACAAGCCAUUGCUAUCAAUCUACUCGCAUUCAUUUCUUGCACCAGGAAAAGUAACAGAAGAGCAUGGAAACUAAACGCUUUCUCUCCUCUAACCCCUUUACCAAAGCCAUUGAGCUUGCUCCCUCCAUUAAAGCAAGAGUAUUCUGCCACCCCAAGAGAAGUCCUACCCAGUUUCAUUGCAAAAAAGUUGGCGUUUCAACUUCCAUUUCAUGUAAGUUGUUCUUUAUCUUUUUUAACAUUAUGAUACUGACAUUCGAAUAAAAUUUUGACUUGAUUUUGUUUGUUUAAAAUAGGUUGCCAUUUAUCAUCAUCAUGGUCACCGGCUGGUGAUGACAGCCAGCCUUACCUUGAAGCUGAUUGGCGAUCAUUUAGAGCUAGAUUAGUCGCCAAUGAGCAAGCCUUUUGGCUCAAUACUGCGCCUUCAUCAAUGGAUCCUGAUUCUGUGGUGGAAGUGGAUCAUCCUCUGCAAGUCGCAAUAGGGUGCAAAUGGGCGCAUGCCAUCCAUGAGCCUGAAAAGGGAUGCCUGCUAAUAGCCACAGAAAAACUUGAUGGGGUCCAUAUUUUCGAACGAACAGUGAUCCUUCUAUUAUCAGUUGGGCCUGCAGGCCCAUAUGGGAUCAUACUUAAUAGGCCAUCUCUUAUGUCCAUCAAGG
RNAcentral lists this unclassified non-coding RNA (803 nucleotides) under Hevea brasiliensis (rubber tree). The record is from RNAcentral. Lineage: Eukaryota; Viridiplantae; Streptophyta; Magnoliopsida; Malpighiales; Euphorbiaceae.